This 926-nucleotide ribosomal RNA is filed under the name uncultured Bacillus sp. RNAcentral's name for it is "bacterial SSU rRNA". It matches the Rfam family "Bacterial small subunit ribosomal RNA", at positions 8 to 916 of the family's 1533-position model. The record is from RNAcentral. Lineage: Bacteria; Bacillati; Bacillota; Bacilli; Caryophanales; Bacillaceae.
AGAGUUUGAUCCUGGCUCAGGACGAACGCUGGCGGCGUGCCUAAUACAUGCAAGUCGAGCGGAUCUUCAUUAGCUUGCUUUUGAAGAUCAGCGGCGGACGGGUGAGUAACACGUGGGCAACCUGCCUGUAAGACUGGGAUAACUUCGGGAAACCGGAGCUAAUACCGGAUAAUCCUUUCCCUCACAUGAGGGAAAGCUGAAAGACGGUUUCGGCUGUCACUUACAGAUGGGCCCGCGGCGCAUUAGCUAGUUGGUGAGGUAACGGCUCACCAAGGCAACGAUGCGUAGCCGACCUGAGAGGGUGAUCGGCCACACUGGGACUGAGACACGGCCCAGACUCCUACGGGAGGCAGCAGUAGGGAAUCUUCCGCAAUGGACGAAAGUCUGACGGAGCAACGCCGCGUGAGCGAUGAAGGCCUUCGGGUCGUAAAGCUCUGUUGUCAGGGAAGAACAAGUACCGGAGUAACUGCCGGUACCUUGACGGUACCUGACCAGAAAGCCACGGCUAACUACGUGCCAGCAGCCGCGGUAAUACGUAGGUGGCAAGCGUUGUCCGGAAUUAUUGGGCGUAAAGCGCGCGCAGGCGGUUCCUUAAGUCUGAUGUGAAAGCCCCCGGCUCAACCGGGGAGGGUCAUUGGAAACUGGGGAACUUGAGUGCAGAAGAGGAGAGCGGAAUUCCACGUGUAGCGGUGAAAUGCGUAGAGAUGUGGAGGAACACCAGUGGCGAAGGCGGCUCUCUGGUCUGUAACUGACGCUGAGGCGCGAAAGCGUGGGGAGCGAACAGGAUUAGAUACCCUGGUAGUCCACGCCGUAAACGAUGAGUGCUAAGUGUUAGAGGGUUUCCGCCCUUUAGUGCUGCAGCAAACGCAUUAAGCACUCCGCCUGGGGAGUACGGCCGCAAGGCUGAAACUCAAAUGAAUUGACGG